UCAAUAUCUGAAUAUGAAAGAGUGCUAU
Molecule: non-coding RNA, 28 nt
Filed under: Bombyx mori (domestic silkworm)
Lineage: Eukaryota; Metazoa; Arthropoda; Insecta; Lepidoptera; Bombycidae
Source: RNAcentral